This 545-nucleotide ribosomal RNA is filed under the name uncultured bacterium. RNAcentral's name for it is "partial 16S ribosomal RNA". It matches the Rfam family "Bacterial small subunit ribosomal RNA", at positions 355 to 889 of the family's 1533-position model. The record is from RNAcentral.
UGGGGAAUUUUGGACAAUGGGCGAAAGCCUGAUCCAGCAAUGCCGCGUGUGUGAAGAAGGCCUUCGGGUUGUAAAGCACUUUUGUCCGGAAAGAAAUCCUUGGCUCUAAUACAGUCGGGGGAUGACGGUACCGGAAGAAUAAGCACCGGCUAACUACGUGCCAGCAGCCGCGGUAAUACGUAGGGUGCAAGCGUUAAUCGGAAUUACUGGGCGUAAAGCGUGCGCAGGCGGUUUGCUAAGACCGAUGUGAAAUCCCCGGGCUCAACCUGGGAACUGCAUUGGUGACUGGCAGGCUAGAGUAUGGCAGAGGGGGGUAGAAUUCCACGUGUAGCAGUGAAAAUGCGUAGAGAUGUGGAGGAAUACCGAUGGCGAAGGCAGCCCCCUGGGCCAAAUACUGACGCUCAUGCACGAAAAGCGUGGGGAGCAAACAGGAUUAGAUACCCUGGUAGUCCACGCCCUAAAACGAUGUCAACUAGUUGUUGGGGAUUCAUUUCCUUAGUAACGUAGCUAACGCGUGAAGUUGACCGCCUGGGGAGUACGGUCGC